Xiphophorus hellerii (green swordtail) is the source of this 338-nucleotide long non-coding RNA. RefSeq lists it as uncharacterized. The record is from RefSeq and is a predicted model, not a curated record. Lineage: Eukaryota; Metazoa; Chordata; Actinopteri; Cyprinodontiformes; Poeciliidae. The transcript has 3 exons.
UUCAGAGGUGAUCGGCGGAGAAAGGGAGUGGCGUGAGUGCGCAGGGGCGCAGGAGCGCACACGGAGAGACAGGAGAGGACAGGACAGGACAGAGAGAAGACAGGGGGGAGAGAAGAAGAAGUUAGGAUCAUGAUGGAGCAUUCUGAAGUGGGUCAGCAGCAGAGUGGGACAGGUGCAGCAACAGAUCAGUUACAGAAAAAGAGGACUCCACUUCAAAGUCGGCGUCACCUUUUCCUACCUACAUCCCACAUCGACUCCCCGGCUGAUUAAUCGCAGAAAGCUGUGUUUGGGUUUGAGUGGGUAGAAAAAGGUUGAGUGGGGCACUUGUUACCUUGGGC